GGUUAAGCGACUAAGCGUACACGGUGGAUGCCCUGGCAGUCAGAGGCGAUGAAGGACGUGCUAAUCUGCGAUAAGCGUCGGUAAGGUGAUAUGAACCGUUAUAACCGGCGAUUUCCGAAUGGGGAAACCCAGUGUGUUUCGACACACUAUCAUUAACUGAAUCCAUAGGUUAAUGAGGCGAACCGGGGGAACUGAAACAUCUAAGUACCCCGAGGAAAAGAAAUCAACCGAGAUUCCCCCAGUAGCGGCGAGCGAACGGGGAGCAGCCCAGAGCCUGAAUCAGUGUGUGUGUUAGUGGAAGCGUCUGGAAAGGCGCGCGAUACAGGGUGACAGCCCCGUACACAAAAAUGCACAUGCUGUGAGCUCGAUGAGUAGGGCGGGACACGUGGUAUCCUGUCUGAAUAUGGGGGGACCAUCCUCCAAGGCUAAAUACUCCUGACUGACCGAUAGUGAACCAGUACCGUGAGGGAAAGGCGAAAAGAACCCCGGCGAGGGGAGUGAAAAAGAACCUGAAACCGUGUACGUACAAGCAGUGGGAGCCUCUUUUAUGGGGUGACUGCGUACCUUUUGUAUAAUGGGUCAGCGACUUAUAUUCUGUAGCAAGGUUAACCGAAUAGGGGAGCCGAAGGGAAACCGAGUCUUAACUGGGCGUUAAGUUGCAGGGUAUAGACCCGAAACCCGGUGAUCUAGCCAUGGGCAGGUUGAAGGUUGGGUAACACUAACUGGAGGACCGAACCGACUAAUGUUGAAAAAUUAGCGGAUGACUUGUGGCUGGGGGUGAAAGGCCAAUCAAACCGGGAGAUAGCUGGUUCUCCCCGAAAGCUAUUUAGGUAGCGCCUCGUGAAUUCAUCUCCGGGGGUAGAGCACUGUUUCGGCAAGGGGGUCAUCCCGACUUACCAACCCGAUGCAAACUGCGAAUACCGGAGAAUGUUAUCACGGGAGACACACGGCGGGUGCUAACGUCCGUCGUGAAGAGGGAAACAACCCAGACCGCCAGCUAAGGUCCCAAAGUCAUGGUUAAGUGGGAAACGAUGUGGGAAGGCCCAGACAGCCAGGAUGUUGGCUUAGAAGCAGCCAUCAUUUAAAGAAAGCGUAAUAGCUCACUGGUCGAGUCGGCCUGCGCGGAAGAUGUAACGGGGCUAAACCAUGCACCGAAGCUGCGGCAGCGACGCUUAUGCGUUGUUGGGUAGGGGAGCGUUCUGUAAGCCUGUGAAGGUGUGCUGUGAGGCAUGCUGGAGGUAUCAGAAGUGCGAAUGCUGACAUAAGUAACGAUAAAGCGGGUGAAAAGCCCGCUCGCCGGAAGACCAAGGGUUCCUGUCCAACGUUAAUCGGGGCAGGGUGAGUCGACCCCUAAGGCGAGGCCGAAAGGCGUAGUCGAUGGGAAACAGGUUAAUAUUCCUGUACUUGGUGUUACUGCGAAGGGGGGACGGAGAAGGCUAUGUUGGCCGGGCGACGGUUGUCCCGGUUUAAGCGUGUAGGCUGGUUUUCCAGGCAAAUCCGGAAAAUCAAGGCUGAGGCGUGAUGACGAGGCACUACGGUGCUGAAGCAACAAAUGCCCUGCUUCCAGGAAAAGCCUCUAAGCAUCAGGUAACAUCAAAUCGUACCCCAAACCGACACAGGUGGUCAGGUAGAGAAUACCAAGGCGCUUGAGAGAACUCGGGUGAAGGAACUAGGCAAAAUGGUGCCGUAACUUCGGGAGAAGGCACGCUGAUAUGUAGGUGAAGCGACUUGCUCGUGGAGCUGAAAUCAGUCGAAGAUACCAGCUGGCUGCAACUGUUUAUUAAAAACACAGCACUGUGCAAACACGAAAGUGGACGUAUACGGUGUGACGCCUGCCCGGUGCCGGAAGGUUAAUUGAUGGGGUCAGCGCAAGCGAAGCUCUUGAUCGAAGCCCCGGUAAACGGCGGCCGUAACUAUAACGGUCCUAAGGUAGCGAAAUUCCUUGUCGGGUAAGUUCCGACCUGCACGAAUGGCGUAAUGAUGGCCAGGCUGUCUCCACCCGAGACUCAGUGAAAUUGAACUCGCUGUGAAGAUGCAGUGUACCCGCGGCAAGACGGAAAGACCCCGUGAACCUUUACUAUAGCUUGACACUGAACAUUGAGCCUUGAUGUGUAGGAUAGGUGGGAGGCUUAGAAGUGUGGACGCCAGUCUGCAUGGAGCCGACCUUGAAAUACCACCCUUUAAUGUUUGAUGUUCUAACGUUGACCCGUAAUCCGGGUUGCGGACAGUGUCUGGUGGGUAGUUUGACUGGGGCGGUCUCCUCCUAAAGAGUAACGGAGGAGCACGAAGGUUGGCUAAUCCUGGUCGGACAUCAGGAGGUUAGUGCAAUGGCAUAAGCCAGCUUGACUGCGAGCGUGACGGCGCGAGCAGGUGCGAAAGCAGGUCAUAGUGAUCCGGUGGUUCUGAAUGGAAGGGCCAUCGCUCAACGGAUAAAAGGUACUCCGGGGAUAACAGGCUGAUACCGCCCAAGAGUUCAUAUCGACGGCGGUGUUUGGCACCUCGAUGUCGGCUCAUCACAUCCUGGGGCUGAAGUAGGUCCCAAGGGUAUGGCUGUUCGCCAUUUAAAGUGGUACGCGAGCUGGGUUUAGAACGUCGUGAGACAGUUCGGUCCCUAUCUGCCGUGGGCGCUGGAGAACUGAGGGGGGCUGCUCCUAGUACGAGAGGACCGGAGUGGACGCAUCACUGGUGUUCGGGUUGUCAUGCCAAUGGCACUGCCCGGUAGCUAAAUGCGGAAGAGAUAAGUGCUGAAAGCAUCUAAGCACGAAACUUGCCCCGAGAUGAGUUCUCCCUGACCUUUUAAGGGUCCUGAAGGAACGUUGAAGACGACGACGUUGAUAGGCCGGGUGUGUAAGCGCAGCGAUGCGUUGAGCUAACCGGUACUAAUGAACCGUGAGGCUUAACCUU
This 2904-nucleotide ribosomal RNA is filed under the name Escherichia coli. RNAcentral's name for it is "23S ribosomal RNA". It matches the Rfam family "Bacterial large subunit ribosomal RNA". The record is from RNAcentral. Lineage: Bacteria; Pseudomonadati; Pseudomonadota; Gammaproteobacteria; Enterobacterales; Enterobacteriaceae.